RNAcentral lists this ribosomal RNA (447 nucleotides) under uncultured bacterium. RNAcentral's name for it is "partial 16S ribosomal RNA". It matches the Rfam family "Bacterial small subunit ribosomal RNA", at positions 329 to 793 of the family's 1533-position model. The record is from RNAcentral.
GCCCAGACUCCUACGGGAGGCAGCAGUGGGGGAUAUUGCACAAUGGGGGAAACCCUGAUGCAGCGACGCCGCGUGAGUGAAGAAGUACUUCGUUACGUAAAGCUCUAUCAGCAGGGAAGAAAAUGACGGUACCUGACUAAGAAGCCCCGGCUAACUACGUGCCAGCAGCCGCGGUAAUACGUAGGGGGCAAGCGUUAUCCGGAUUCACUGGGUGUAAAGGGAGCGUAGACGGCGACGCAAGUCUGGAGUGAAAGCCCGGGGCCCAACCCCGGGACUGCUCUUGGAACUGCGUGGCUGGAGUGCAGGAGGGGCAGGCGGAAUUCCUGGUGUAGCGGUGAAAUGCGUAGAUAUCAGGAGGAACACCGGUGGCGAAGGCGGCCUGCUGGACUGCAACUGACGUUGAGGCCCGAAAGCGUGGGGAGCAAACAGGAUUAGAUACCCGCGUAC